UAUCCCUCUGUGUGAUGAAGCCCUUUGUCUUCCUCUGUUUGUUGCCUGAUUGUCUGCUCACCUCCCUAUGUUUCCAUGAGUCAUGUUCCAGUACGACCUGGCAGUAGCAGCAUGUCCAGGGAGUACCCUGUGUUUUGUCCUAUGACAGCUGGGAUAAGCUUCAGCUGAGGUUCAAACACGGAGCCUUGUUAUUACGAUGGGACAAUGCUAACCUCUGCUAACUGCCAUGCCACCCAAGGCAAACCAUCUUCAAGUUAACAUGCAGAAAGAGAGCUCCAGAUAUGAAGAGGCAGUUUGAUUUGCCAAUGUCAGCUGGCCGUACUGUAGAAUCCCCAGUUGGGAGCUUAGCUGCUCUCAAUUAAAUCCACAGCCGAGCACUUUGAUGGUGGAGGGCUGCACUGUGAAUUAGCCUCUAUGUGAAGCUUUUGUGGCUCUGCCACCGGCUAAGUGCACUCACAAUGACCUCUUUCCUGUCCUCGAGCAGAGACAGAGAAAAUUAUAAUGAAAAGGCUGCAGUGUCACUAAAAAGUAUUUUAUUUUAUGCCAGUAUAACAUAAGACUGCAAAAGUGCCGUAAAUUAUAGGAAACCAAGUUCCUUAUCCAGUCAUAAUACCAUACAUCUGAAAAGCUGUCAUCAGCAAGUGAGUCUCUGAGCACGCUAGUGUUUCAUUUUCUUUAAUUGACAGAAUGAGGACGGGUCACUCGGCCUUUGCAGACCAGAUAACGGUGCAUACAGAGUACAAUUCCCUUCUCUAUUCAGACAUUUAAAGCUCUUCUUGUGCUUUUUAAAAAACAGAUUCAGUGUGUUUUUGUCACUCAUGUUCUUCAUCUGCUUGUCAUUCAGUUUAAACUCAAGAAAUAAAGAUGGAAGAUUCAAGAAAAUAUACGAGCCAACCCAUCACGAUGGAUGCACAAACACACCAUCAAGAUCCCACCAAGCUAAACGUAGGACAGUUUGAUAUUUUUGAAAGGCAGUUAGCAAGUGAAGGACAAAUAUUUUAUUUGAAUGCAUCCUCCUCACUGAACAUUGGAUAUCAGAUAGACGUGCAGAUCAUGUCUAUAUUGGGCCCGUCGGUCUAUGACCAAUCCUGCAUCUAUGUGACGCCAACCAUGACCCAACCCAACAUCUGAAUUUUGGACGGGGUAAUAUUUUUGGAUGUCAUGUGACCUGUGCAGGAAAUUUACAUGAUUAAUAAAUGUAAUAUUUUUUUAUUUACAAAUAUCAGCAUAAUUGUUAUCAACAUGAUACGUAUGAAUACAGAUUAUUCAGAUAGAUUUAUUAUGUGUUAGCCUUAUUCUGUACAUGUGGGUUUGUUUGGUUUUUUGUUGUUAUUAUUUUACAUUUUCCUGUUUUUCUUUCACUGGUUUAUUUAUUUCAAUUCAUCAACUUAAUUGUUUGUAACCAGAUUAAAACGGGUAUUUAUUAAAAUGUGUUGAAAUAUUAAAAACAUUGAAAUUAAGGU
This is a long non-coding RNA of Oreochromis niloticus (Nile tilapia), 1463 nucleotides long. RefSeq lists it as uncharacterized. The record is from RefSeq and is a predicted model, not a curated record. Lineage: Eukaryota; Metazoa; Chordata; Actinopteri; Cichliformes; Cichlidae. The transcript is spliced from 3 exons.